This is a small nucleolar RNA of Rhododendron vialii, 78 nucleotides long. RefSeq annotates it as small nucleolar RNA snoR28. NCBI's taxonomy places the organism in Eukaryota, Viridiplantae, Streptophyta, Magnoliopsida, Ericales, Ericaceae. The transcript has a single exon. The record is from RefSeq and is a predicted model, not a curated record.
AACGAAGGUGAUGACGUGUUCAUUUGUGAGUACGAGUAUGAUACACAUUGGCAUAGUUUCAAGCGUCUUGCGGAUAUU